RNAcentral lists this transfer RNA (73 nucleotides) under Geocalamus acutus. RNAcentral's name for it is "tRNA-Asn". The record is from RNAcentral. Lineage: Eukaryota; Metazoa; Chordata; Lepidosauria; Squamata; Amphisbaenidae.
CGGAUUGAAACCCGCUGGAUUGGGUGUUUAGCUGUUAACUAAGUUCUUGUAGGAUCGAGGCCUGCCAAUCUAG